CAGAAAUGCACUUUAGGUCUUAUAAACAUUAAUGAAGACUGUGUGUUGAUUAAAUUGCUGUAGUUGGGAGUGUUUUUUAUGCUUUGAAUUUGAAGCAAUUACCUGUUCCUAACUGUAUGUGAUGCUUAUUUUGUUUGGGCAUGUUCGGCAGAUGGGUCUAAUUACUAGUAUUACUGGGAAAAAAUUCAAUGAAACAUGCACUUCUCUUUUGGUUUGGUGCCUCAAUGAAUAGCUUAGUUGAACAACUGUUCUGGUUACUAUCUUGGAAUCAUUGGUGGUUAUUAUUUAGUCUGGAAUGGUGCUUAAUUACUCUGUUUUUCUCCUUUAUUUUUAUGGAACUAUCUUCUUCUAUACCAGGAUUUGUGUAGGGUAUUUCCUUGCUGGUUUAAUGCCUUCUUUCCACGGACUGCUGAUUCCCCUUGGUAAUUUUUGGACUUAGAUAUGUUCCAUGAACAACAUCUUUAGAUCGAUUGUAGCAUCAGAUCAUAAAUCUCUCUUCUCCCUAUUAAGACAUGAGUCCAUGGUAUAUAAUUUUAGGCCUUGCACUGUUCAGUUCCCCUGAACUGAACUGAACUGAACCUCGGUUCUUUUUUCUCUUCUAGGAUCCAGAGCUCUAACCGAAGCCUUUAGUUCUUGGUUUCAAUUCUCGGCUCUUGGUUUGGGUCUUCUGUUCCUGACAUAAAAAAUAUAUCGUUUUAGCUAAAAUUAUAUAGUUUUAAGCUAAAUUCAUUUAUUUUAAUUUUUAAAAUUAAAUUAAAUUUUUCUAAAAGAAAAUAAAAUUAGAGCUUACCUUUUCUUUUUCAAAUAUAAAUACUUUUUAAAUUUUUUUUUUAAAAACAUAUAUAUAAUGUGUGGCGUUGUAUUUUUCAUUAAAU
Molecule: unclassified non-coding RNA, 875 nt
Filed under: Hevea brasiliensis (rubber tree)
Lineage: Eukaryota; Viridiplantae; Streptophyta; Magnoliopsida; Malpighiales; Euphorbiaceae
Source: RNAcentral